This is a long non-coding RNA of Homalodisca vitripennis (glassy-winged sharpshooter), 338 nucleotides long. RefSeq lists it as uncharacterized. The record is from RefSeq and is a predicted model, not a curated record. NCBI's taxonomy places the organism in Eukaryota, Metazoa, Arthropoda, Insecta, Hemiptera, Cicadellidae. The transcript has 2 exons.
GCAGAUCAGGUGGAAUGCCAGAAAUUUUACCAGAUGUUGAUAGGAUGAAUAUUUUGUAUACUUUUGAUGUGUCAUUUACAGGUUGGAUGAUGCUGCAGCUUUAAUUAGUCUCUAUCAUAUCAUCCAUCCUUCAGCCAAAUCAGCAGGAACCAAACUUACACUUGGCCAGGAAAUUGCAUUUGUUAAGGAGUAUAUUGACAAGGAUUCAAAAAUGAAAGUAGCCCUAGAACUAGCCCUAAUGCCGUACAGUGAGCAACCUGAAAAAGUUAUCUCUUCAAGUAGCUAGUAUCUCCAUUUCUGUAACCUUGUAGGUCUGUAAAAAUAUAUGUUAGUGUUAA